This 281-nucleotide small RNA is filed under the name Histoplasma capsulatum var. duboisii H88. Its description in RNAcentral is "Histoplasma capsulatum H88 hypothetical RNA". The record is from RNAcentral. Lineage: Eukaryota; Fungi; Ascomycota; Eurotiomycetes; Onygenales; Ajellomycetaceae.
CCAUAGCAUUCGAAUAAACUGCUGCUCAGCAGCUGGUCGCCGGGUAAGGACCACCACGAUAUGAUUCCCACAGUAACACUGCAGUUAUGAGAUACAAAGGUGCCCAGGCCCUACGGCGACAUAGCACGUCCGGCCACCUGAAGACCACUACGAGUAACGUUGCCGGCCCGCUGUUGAGGAAUCGCCUACAAUAAUGGCCGGGCGCCAGAUUGGCGGGUUCAGGGGCCAGGAGAAGUUGCUAUCACUACCUCUGUCUCGAAGGUAUGCUGGUGGGGAAGGGG